AGUGAACGCUGGCGGUAGGCCUAACACAUGCAAGUCGAACGGCAGCACAGUAAGAGCUUGCUCUUACGGGUGGCGAGUGGCGGACGGGUGAGGUAUACAUCGGAAUCUACUUUUUCGUGGGGGAUAACGUAGGGAAACUUACGCUAAUACCGCAUACGAUCUACGGGUGAAAGCAGGGGAUCUUCGGACCUUGCGCGAUUGAAUGAGCCGAUGUCGGAUUAGCUAGUUGGCGGGGUAAAGGCCCACCAAGGCGACGAUCCGUAGCUGGUCUGAGAGGAUGAUCAGCCACACUGGAACUGAGACACGGUCCAGACUCCUACGGGAGGCAGCAGUGGGGAAUAUUGGACAAUGGGCGCAAGCCUGAUCCAGCCAUACCGCGUGGGUGAAGAAGGCCUUCGGGUUGUAAAGCCCUUUUGUUGGGAAAGAAAAGCAGCAGGUUAAUACCCCGCUGUUCUGACGGUACCCAAAGAAUAAGCACCGGCUAACUUCGUG
This 492-nucleotide ribosomal RNA is filed under the name uncultured bacterium. Its description in RNAcentral is "partial 16S ribosomal RNA". It matches the Rfam family "Bacterial small subunit ribosomal RNA", at positions 29 to 507 of the family's 1533-position model. The record is from RNAcentral.